GAUGAAGAACGCAGCGAAAUGCGAUAAGUAAUGUGAAUUGCAGAAUUCAGAGAAUCAUCGAAUCUUUGAACGCACAUUGCGCCCGCGAGUAUUCUCGCGGGCAUGCCUGUCCGAGCGUCAUUUCAACCCUCAGGGCCCGCCUGCUUCGGCAGGCGCGGCGCUGGUGUUGGGGAUCGGCCUAACCGCCGUCCCCCAAAUACAGUGGCGGUCUCGCUGCAGCCUCCCCUGCGUAGUAGCAACACUCGCAUGCGGAGCGCGGCGCGGCCACGCCGUAAAACCCCCGACUUUCUGAACGUUGACCUCGGAUCAGGUAGGAAUACCCGCUGAACUUAAGCAUAUCAAUAAGCGGAGGA
This 353-nucleotide unclassified non-coding RNA is filed under the name soil metagenome. RNAcentral's name for it is "partial contains 5.8S ribosomal RNA, internal transcribed spacer 2, and large subunit ribosomal RNA". The stretch from base 1 to 120 matches the Rfam family "5.8S ribosomal RNA", at positions 35 to 154 of the family's 154-position model. The record is from RNAcentral.